AUGCUUGCUUUGGCAACACAUAUAUUAAAUUAGAAUGAUACAGAGAAGAUUAGUAUGGACCCCGCACAAGGAUGACAUGCAAAUACAUGAUGUGUUCCAUAUUAAA
Small nuclear RNA from Spermophilus dauricus (Daurian ground squirrel), 106 nucleotides. The record is from Ensembl. Lineage: Eukaryota; Metazoa; Chordata; Mammalia; Rodentia; Sciuridae.